UCGAUGAAGAACGCAGCGAAAUGCGAUAAGUAAUGUGAAUUGCAGAUUUUCAGUGAGUCAUCGAAUCUUUGAACGCAUAUUGCGCCCUUUGGUAUUCCGAAGGGCAUGCCUGUUCGAGCGUCAUUAUCAACCAUCAAGCCUGGCUUGUCGUUGGACCCUUUUUACCGCUGAAAUAUGUGGUAGGUCCGAAAGAUAAUGACGGCGUCGUGUUUGACCCUAGAUGCAACGAGCUUUUAUAGCACGCAUUGAAGUGGUCGACCGACCCGGUCUUUAACCAUCAUUUUCUAAGGUUGACCUCGGAUCAGGUAGGAAUACCCGCUGAACUUAA
This 328-nucleotide ribosomal RNA is filed under the name uncultured Verrucariales. RNAcentral's name for it is "eukaryotic LSU rRNA". The stretch from base 1 to 123 matches the Rfam family "5.8S ribosomal RNA", at positions 33 to 154 of the family's 154-position model. Lineage: Eukaryota; Fungi; Ascomycota; Eurotiomycetes; Verrucariales. The record is from RNAcentral.